GUAGUGUCUGUUUAGUAUAUGUAAUGCGUGUGUAAUAUACGAAUUUAGUGUGCGUGUAAUUAUUAUUUGUGUAAUGCGUAUUUAGUUUCUGCGUGCUUAGAGUGUAUAUAGGAUAUGUGUUUCUGGCACAUGUGUAGUAUGUUUUUAUUGUUCGAACUGUACACAGUUUGUGUGUAUAGUACAUACGUUUAUUGUGUGUUAUAGUGUGCGUCCAUGGACGAUCGAUACCAAAAAAUAAGGUAACGAGGAGAUAAUAGCCGCUUUUAAAUAAAUUAAACAUACACACACACUAUAUAUAAUGAACAGAUAGACACUAUCCAUACACGGCACGUAAUAUUCAAGUGACCAUGCCCUAACCCCAAUCUCCUCGUGGUGUAUCUUGACUUAUUACAAUACCGAUAGCCUUUUUUAUAUUUCAAAUGUCAAUAAAGGGCAACAAGAAGUCGUACGACAAUCCUUAGUUAUAAAGGCGAGACUUCCCUUCACAAAGUUAUCCUAAAACGGAUCUUGAAGGAAAGUUUUCAAAUUCUACAGAGUCAUUUAAAUUUGUAAAAUCUUCGUAAAGAAAAAGUAUCUUCAGUUCCCCAGCCAUUAAUGAAAAAAUGAACACAAGAUUAUAAGGGAAAAAGCUUCGUGUUUUAAAAUGAGCCCAGGAUUUGACGAGACAGUUGGUCAAAAUACUAACUCUCAACUAGGUACAUACGGUACUUACGGAGGAGUUAUGGUACCGGGAUAAGAUCUUUAUACAUGAUACAAUUUGAUUCAGAAUAAUAAAUGUUAAUAAACUAGUACAAAUGAGUGCUAGUGGAUCCGGUCAAAUAUAUCCAGAAGAACAAUUAUCGAAUGGGUCCAAGUGAAUCAAGAUUGAUUAGAUUAAGUCACACGAGACAAUGUGUUUAGGAACUGGGUAUAUGCCACCGAUAUACAAAUUCGCGAAUAAUAUUUGGAGAGUCAGAACACCUGAGUAGCACAUCAGAACCAGACUAUAUAAAUGUGACUGGAUCACUACGAUCAGGCCAUAUGAAUUCGAGUGACCGACCUAGGCUAGAGCAUAUAGGCACUAACAGUUCAUCUAAAUCAGGACAUGUCAGUACAAGCUUCCCCAGGUGCACGAAUGAAUCACGACUAUUGAGUUUAAAUGCUCCUGGGUAAAUUAGCACAGGAACACUCUUGUCCCAAAGAGAAAUAAAAGAAGUUGGAAGUCAGUUGAGACCAGAGACAAUGAUAAAAUCAAAUACAAUUACGUUAGACAAAUAAGCAGUAGCCGGAACGGACCCAGGCACAUCUCCACGGGAGAACAAAAAGAAUAAUAGACUGAAAAUCAUUUCGGGUAUUACAGCAGUGGAGAGUAAGAUUUUAUCCUUUUUUAAAAAAAGGAACAAAGGAAAAUGACAAUCCCCUUACUCCAAAAAAAGCCCGGUGAGAAUUCCAGUCAACAAGAGCAAAUAUACUGAUGAAAGUGAAUUGCAUAUCGACACACCUUCGGAAUAUUUCGAAUAUAGUGAUUGUAACACCCCAAUGGCGGUAAAAACAAAAAGAAUUAAGGAACGAAAGAAUUGAGAGGGGGGAGGAGAAUUAAUCAAAUCGGUCAUGAGGAGGCAGAAAAAUAUAAGAGAUCUUACGAAAAGCGAAGAGGAAAGGAUAUCCUCGCAAUCAGAAAGAAAAAUAGAAUACUCCAUCAAACAAGUGGAAGUGAAUGUGUUAAUUAAUACAUUAACCGAAGUGAUUUUAAACACAAAAAAAAAAAUAAAUACGAGACUCCACCUAUUAUCUAAAAAAAGAUGCGGAAAUAGCGGAGAUGACUAAAGAGAAUAACGAACAUAUGAAUGGCACUUCUGAGUGGAUCCAAGGAUUAAAUAAAAAAUAAAGGGUAAGGAUUACACCGGUCAAGGAAACGAUUACUCAUAGAAAGUCUGUGGCAACGUCGCGCCCUAAAUAGUAACUACAAAACAUAGAUUGAUACAAAAAGGACACUACCAAAUUAGUAAAAGGAAACAGACCUCCCCAGUGAAAGACAAAGGGGAAGAACUUAGGAAAAGAUCUAAGAAAGGAGCGUUGGCAUAGAUAAAGAUGACACCCAGAGGGAAAAUAAUAGUAGUGAAAUUAAUGAAUGGAAAGUUCAAAUAAAUAAGAAAACACUUAGAAAAGAGAAGAUUAAAAAAAGAAUAUCAACACCAACCCAAAAGGGACAGCAGAAAAGUGAAAAGUCAGCAAAGAAUUCGCAAUAGACCGGAGGUCUAUACUUGUCAAGGUCGAAAGUGGAAAAGAAUGACUCGAAACCUACAGAGAACUUAUGAGAGCUAAGGAAGCUCUCAAGAAAACAACUGGUGUUAGGAAAACAAGGUACGGGAAUAUCUUGGUCGAAUUAAUAAAAGCAAAAGCAUCAGCAAAUGAGAUUUCAGACAAAAUAAAGACGGUUACGGAAAACCGAGUACAGUCAACACCACUACAAACUAUGGUGUCAUUGAAAGUCAAAAACAUCGAUCCGCUGAGCAAGGAAGAGCUCAGAAGCGACAUUUGUAGUGACUUAAGCAUAAGUAACAGAAACUGUGUUGACGUCAAGACACUGCUAAUAAACCCGUGGGGAAUAUGACAACCCAUAGUUAUUAUCCCCGCAUCAACUGUUCCUGCCAAUUAUAACAAUUUAAAAAUCAGAGCAGGAUUGACGGUAACAAGUAUAAAAAUCUUGCCGAAAAUCAAUAGAUGUUUUAGGUGUCAUAAAAUAGGACACACCUCAAAUCAGUGCAAAGAAGUUAGUGUUAAGAAAUGUAAAGUUGGUAUGACCGCUAGUUACUAAAAGCUAAGUUGGUACGACUCCUAACGACGUUCCUUUGUCUUAGGAGUCGACCACGCGUUAAUUGCUAAGACGCAUCCUGUGUGAUUAAACGCCUCCUGUGUGAUUAGGCGUUUUGUAUAAGAAACAAAAUAAAAGGUGUGAUAAUCAAUCCGUGUGAAUCAGCUUGAAUAUCAACCCCAACCUAUAUAAAAUAACAGUUAGCUCUGGAAAGGUACUUUGCAGGAAAUGUAGAGUUAGGAAUUACAAUAUGGAGAACUGCAUUAAUGAACCGUACUGCACCAUGUGGAGCGCUCAUGGUUUAGCAAAUAAAAAACACGUUACUGGGUCAUUGGCGUGUCCUAUAUACAGAAGAGCGAUGAAAGAGAGAAAUAGUAGAAUAAAAAGAUAAAGACUUUGCAGACAAAUUUAAAUCGCUGCAAGUUGGCACAGGAUUUAAUGUACCAAUGCGCCUAUGAAGUCAGAGCAGAUGUAACCCCAAAUUCUUUUACCCUGACGUCACCUUAGGCGACCACUUCUAAAUAUUCUCCGGACAGUUGAUACCUCUACUCCAAAUAUUCUCAGGACAGUUGAUACCUCUAAAUAUCCUCCGGACGGUUGAUACUUCUAAAUAUUAUCCGGUCAAUUAACACCUCGCCACCCUGAUAAGGAACUUCCAGGAACAAUAUCCCCUCCAUCAUUUUCAUUGUUCCUGCUUAGUAUUUAGACUCCGAAUAAUGACGGCCGAGCCAGUCUGAACUGUGAGCCGAUACUUGAACAUUGUAAGUGGUAGCCAAGUGUCUUGGACUCUUGAGAAAUAAAGUUUUUUGUAUCAUCAAGAGAGUUUCUUUUUUACGUGACACAGAUAUCGUUAUCAUCUUUGAACCAAAGAAACAAUAGAUGUACUGGUACAAAGAUAUAAAAGGUGAUGCAUCCAUAUGGGUUACGUUAUUUAACAGCGCAUUCCCAUAUGAUGAUACCAUAAUACAGGAAGACGGUAUGUUGGAAAUAAGAAUAGGGGAUACUUCCUACGUGAGUGGAUAUUGUUCCCGUAACAUCAACAAAAAUAGCUAUUAUAAAUACGUUGACAAAUUAGAAAGCUUAAUGAAAAGGAUAUAUAAAAAACAAAGUAAAAUACUUAUUGCUGGUGAUUAUAAUGCAAAAUCGGCAGUAUGGGACGGAGACAAAACCGACAAAGAGGAUAGAACCUUAAUGGGGGCUUUGGUAAAAAAUGGCAUUACAACCAUAAAAGUCAACAAAAAAUACUCCUUUGUUAGGGGCAAUAGUAAUAGCUAUCUUGGCAUAGUGAGCGUAAAUAAUAACCUAGCUAGGCUUUAUAAAAGAACAAAGAUCCCACAAAUUUUUAAUUUAAAUUUAACAGAAAUAGAGGUCAUUAUAAAUUUUCGACGAAAGACUACGAUCCGGAGAGGUUUAUUAAUAAAUUUGACGAAAUAAAAAAUAAUCUAAUAAUAAAUUUUACAUCUUACAGGAUGAGCCAUGGGGAAUUUCUCCAAAAUAUUUUAGAAAAAACGCGUGAAGCCGAAUUAAAAAAAGUCUUCCUACCAAGGGAUAAGAAGAACGAGAACUAUUGGUGGAAUGAGAAUAUAGCCCCACUUUGAAAGAUGGAGAAUAAAAGUAGAAGGGUUGUAUUAAAUAGCCAGCAAUGUGGAGGAGUUUACCAAGAUAUAUAAGCAGAAUAAAAAGGAACUGAAAAUAUUAAUUCAGAAAGGCAAAGAACAAACGUGGAAGGAAUUUGUUGCAAUCUUAAAAUGGGAUCCAUAGGCAUUAUAGAUACACUUUUCACCACAAAAAUAAACAUAACUGCCGAAGAAGAGAGACGGGAUGGUAGUUACGAGGAAGUAACAAACGACGAUGUAUGUAUCACCGUCCAAAUGGAGGAGUUAGCGAAUGCCAUUGGACGAUUAAAUUCUAAACGGGCGGCUGGCGUGGAUGGUGUCUCUGGAACAAUAUUUAAAUUAUUAUUUAAGUAUAAAGCUCAUGACAUACUAAGCAUGCCUAAUACUAUAUACAAAAUAGAUAAAAUACCUAAAGAAUGGAAAAUUGCUAGAGUAGUAUUGCAAAACCAGGAAAUAAUCCCUUCCUUCCUACUUCCUAUUGGCUCAUAAAUAUACUACCUGCGAUGAGCAAGAUAUGGGGGAAUAUUUCUAAAUCCUCCACUGAGAAAUAUCUGUGGCAAUAGCCAUAUCACAAAAGCCAGUAUGGUUUCCACAGAGACAGGAGCACAGUUGGUCCCAUUAUAUAGGUUAACAAAUUUGCAGAUUUCUGCAAAAAGAAAAAUUUAGUAUACAUCCAGAUUGCUGACGACAUUAAAAAUGUUUUCAAAACCCUUAGAUGGUAUACAAUAAUUAAGGAAGCCAGGUAAAGAAAACUUCCAGGAAACUUAUUGAUAUUAUAUGGUUACCUGAAGGAUAAAGAGAUUAUAAUUAAAAGCAUUAAUGGAGAAUUUGAAAGUAAUGUCUACGCUAUUAUUAUGCAAUUUAGUGGACGAUGGACUUCUCAAUAAAUUUAUUAAUAUAAUAAAAUUUACAAACUGUAACCUUUGCAGACUAUUUGGCAAUUCUAAUGGGUGUCAAUAAAGAAGAAAGUAUAGAAAAUAAACUAAAUAUAAACAUAAACACAAUUAUGACUUCGUGUAAUAAUGCUGGAUUGCAAGUUGCAAAAGAAAAAACAGAGAUUAUUCUAUUGACUGGUAUGCGAAUACCUAAGAUAAUAAAUGUAAAUAUUAUAAAUAUGCUAAUUACUACAAAUAACACUAUUAUAUACUUGGGAUUAACAAUUGACAACAUCAGAAAUUACACUGUGCAUCUGAAAAUAUUAUGCGGUAGAGCUGAUGCAUUUAGUCAGAAUGUUGAUAGUAUUACUUUCCAACAUAAAUGGUCCCACUAACCUAGUUAGAAGAUUGUUCUGGGAAUCGAUGGUACUAUGUGCCUCUUCUGUAUGGGCUGAGGAUCCAAAAAGGACUAAAAAUAAAGAAAAUAUUAAAAAAGGCACAAAGAUCGGCCCUAAUUAAGAUAUCAACAUCUUAUAGGACUGUCUUUUAUGCAGCUCUGCGCGCGUUGACAGGUAACAUGCUAAUAUACAUUAAAGCACAGCUGUGAGAAAAGCUAUAUGAUGUGAAAAAAAGGCACACAUUAAACGCCAUAGAAAAUAUAACCGAUAGGAUACAAAACUCACUCAAGGGAGAGAUAAAACAAUUGGGAGAAACAACAAUAGAGGAUUGGAGAAAGGAAUAUAUAAGAAACUGGACAAGAAAAUUGAUAAACAACAUAGUCAUCUUUAUAAAGAAUAAAAAACUUAUUGACCAUUAUACAAUGCAAAUGUUUAUCGGACAUGGUACCUUUAACACAUAUAGAAUCAGAAUAAAUAAAGAAAUCAAUAACCAAUGCUGGAAUUGCAAUGAAGAGUUCAAUGAUGCUGAACAGAUAUUGUUUAAAUGUCCAAGAUGGGCCUCCCAACAUAUAGCCCAUGAAAACCAUGCCGGUGAAAGUUUAAGCGCCAAGAAUAUGAUUACAUUAGUUACAGCAGACAAUGAUAUAUGGAAUCACUUCCAAGUAUUUUGUGGUUCCAUAAUGAACUUUCUAUAAAGUGUAGGCUCAGGAUAUAGCCCAUAAAAAUUAUUUUAACCAACAAGUGAAGAAAUUAACUAUCUGUUAUCUACUUUUAUUUAUUCUGUUCAGUCCAUCUAUUUAAUUAACUAUUGUAAUUAUUUAUUUAGUUAUCUUUUUAUUUAUCCAUUAUGUAUUAAUUAAUUAAUUUAUAAUUUGAAUUAUGCAUUAAAAUACCGCUUUGCUAUGUUAUUUAUUUACUUAGUAUUUAUAUACACUAAUUUAUAGUUACUUAAUGGGUGGAACAGUAAUACAGAUCGAUGUUUUAUAACUUAACCUAUACACAAUGGAAUGGUAGCAUCGUUGUGAUAAAUUAAAAGUUUAGUAAAUUAAA
This is a long non-coding RNA of Bombus terrestris (buff-tailed bumblebee), 6733 nucleotides long. RefSeq lists it as uncharacterized. NCBI's taxonomy places the organism in Eukaryota, Metazoa, Arthropoda, Insecta, Hymenoptera, Apidae. The record is from RefSeq and is a predicted model, not a curated record. The transcript is spliced from 3 exons.